UGUUAUUUAAAAUGUAAUUAAAAAGAAAUGGAGUAGUAAUAGUUAUAUUCUUAAAACUUAAAAAAUUUGGCGGUAUUUUAAUUUAUUCAGAGGAACUUGUUUUAUAAUUGAUAAUCCUCAUUAAAUCUUACUUAAUUUUAUUAAAUUUGUAUAUCGUCGUCAUAAGAAUUUCUUUAAAAAGUAAUAAUUUUCUAAAAUUUUUAUUUUAAAUCAUGUCAGAUAAAGGUGCAGUUUAUAAUUAAGAAAAAAUGAGUUACAAUAAAUUUAUUUAUACAGUAUUAAAAAUUAAAAUUUUUAAUUAAGGUGGAUUUGAAAGUAAAAUAAAUAAUUAAGUUUAUUUGACUAUAACUCUAAAAUAUGUACAAAUCGCCCG
RNAcentral lists this ribosomal RNA (373 nucleotides) under Leia winthemii. RNAcentral's name for it is "partial 12S ribosomal RNA". The record is from RNAcentral. Lineage: Eukaryota; Metazoa; Arthropoda; Insecta; Diptera; Mycetophilidae.